GUAGGUGGCAAGCGUUGUCCGGAAUUAUUGGGCGUAAAGCGCACGCAGGCGGUUCUCUAAGUCUGAUGUGAAAGCCCACGGCUCAACCGUGGAGGGUCAUUGGAAACUGGAGAACUUGAGUACAGAAGAGGAAAGCGGAAUUCCACGUGUAGCGGUGAAAUGCGUAGAGAUGUGGAGGAACACCAGUGGCGAAGGCGGCUUUCUGGUCUGUAACUGACGCUGAGGCGCGAAAGCGUGGGGAGCAAACAGGAUUAGAUACCCUGGUAGUCCACGCCGUAAACGAUGAGUGCUAAGUGUUAGGGGGGUUUCCGCCCCCCUUAGUGCUGCAGCUAACGCAUUAAGCACUCCGCCUGGGAGUACGGCCGCAAGGCUG
Molecule: ribosomal RNA, 373 nt
Filed under: uncultured organism
Description: partial 16S ribosomal RNA
Rfam family: Bacterial small subunit ribosomal RNA
Source: RNAcentral